AAACAAAAGAAAAAAGAAAAGGCAGCCCACUUUCCCCUUCCCCCGACGAUUCGUUUCGAUUUCAUCCCGCCGCCGCCGCAACCACCCUCUCCCCCGGCACGGCGGUGAUCUUCUCUCCCACGGCCGACCGCCUCUCUCCUCUAUCUCCCGCCGACGGUUGUAUGACGGAUCCUUGGCGACGGCGGCACCAUGGAUGCGGCGGCGAACCCUAGCCGCAGCGGCUUGCCGGCGCCUCUGCUCUUCUCUUCUCCUAGAGCAACCCCCUCGUCGCACUACGACGCGCCCCCUGCCACUCCUCUUGUAUGCGAAACCCGACGGCCAUGCCAUCCUUCCUUCGCCUCCACCUCCACCUCCCCGACCGCGUGCUCCUUCGCCGCCCAGCGACGGCGGCCGAUUUACGACGGAUCUAUCUGGCGCGACGGUAGCGCCAGCCAACCCAUGGAGGCGGCGCCUGCCGUGCCUCUGCUGCUCUCCCCGAGCUCCCUCCUCAUCUUACGACGACGCCUCCGCACCCCCUCCACCUCGACUCGGGCUUUGUUGAUUGAUGACUGGGCUGAAGGGGAUACUUAACAAAGGUUCAGCAAUGCCUCAGGGGGGAGAUAGUCGUCGGAGGUCCCAAUGUAAAAAAAGACCGUUCCAAGAAUGAAGCUAAAACAAAUGAGGUCUAUCAGGAUGAUGAAAGAGGUCUACGAUGGUUGUAUUCGGGUGGCAUAGGGCGUUUUCCAUCCACAUUGCUGCCUUGAAUUCAUUGACCGCAAGAAAGAUAUCGUGAAGCUUCAACGUGGUGAACACACAUCUGCCAAAACAUAUAUUUCUAAAGUUGUCCGGGACCCUGCCAGGAUAGAGAGGUCGUCAUCGCCAUCACGUCCAUGCUGUGUCAACCCCACUGCCCCCUUUAUUUUGUCUGUGCCUGUGCAUCUAUAUCCCCGCUGCCCUUAUAUUUUCUAUCUCAAUUACUCCCUCCAUUCCAAAAUAGAUGACUCAACUUUAUACUAAAGUUAGUACAAAGUUGAGUCAUCUAUUUUGGAACGGAGGGAGUAGCUUUUUUAAACCGCUAGAUUGACCUCAGUGUAAUAGUUGAUCGGUAAUAAGACCUUAUGACUUGGUACCCAAUGCAUGUGUGUAGUUUUUUUUGACUUCUUCUCUCUCUCCUAACCUCCACUUAUUGAUUUCAGAUUAAUACAUCAAAACAUUUUUUGCAAGAUAAUCACAUAGUUUUUUUUUGCAAAAUAAUGCAUGCUCACUGGUUAGAGAUAACAUUUUUGCCAGAAGCAAGAAUGUUAUAGCUUGCAUGUAGCUUGAUAUUCUUUUUAUGCAAUAGCACAUUCAUGUAUCAGUGCAUAAACAGCAAGAUUACACACUGAUGCAAUUUCCUUUUCUUGUUUUGAUUGAUAGAAUGAGCAUGGAAAAUUUCAAUUUUCCGCACAAAUUCCUAUCCACAUUCGAUGGAUUAGGAGAUGAUGCCAACACAAUUGGUGUUGCAAGGGAAGAAGCAGCUGCAAUAAUCAAUGUGUUCGCGAAAUCAUCUCUUUGUCAUGUAAUUUUUUCUGCCAGUUUACAACUCUGGUGACCGCCUCUCGCUCGACUCGGGCAUCGGAUGACAAAUGAGGUCUACGAUGGUUGUAUUCUGGUGGCAUAGGGCGUUUCCAUCCAGAUGGCUGCCUCAAAUUUAUUGACCGCAAGAAAGAUAUUGUCAAGCCUCAACAUGAAUGAGCAUGGACUUCUAUUUUCUGAACAAAUCCCUAUCCACAUUCGAUGGACUAGAAGAUGAUGCCGACACAGUUGGUUUUGCAAGGGAAUAAGCAGCUGCAAUCAUGAAUGUGUGUUCAUCAAGUCGUCUCUUUGUCAGUGCUGCUGCAGGCUAAAGUUGCUAAUAGAAACAACACAAUCUCAGCUAGAAGUUAGCUGAAGAUGCAGGAUUUGUGAUGCUAGGAUUGAUGAUCCGCUGAUUAGAGGGUUGUCCCUAACUUCCCGUGAGUGUUGUUGCUGGGCGUAUUUUGGACAACAUUUACAGCACUAGUUUGGUCGACGAAGAAGAACUUUUCGACGAAGAAGCUCUGGCUGCUCCAGUGCUCACUCCGACGCCUCUUUCCUGUCCCUCUGGUGGCCGCUUCCUUGUUGGUUCUAGAAGAGUGAAGCGGUUCUUCAAUGUUGGAAUCCCUGUUUGGUGUGGUGGUGACCGAGCGGUCAUCGAUGUGCCCCUCCUCCCUACCGACGGGAUGACGGUGGUUGUGUUGUAAACUUUUAACCUCCUUGUCCGGCUACCACAGCUCGGAGGACUGUCUCGGCUUCUUGUUUUUGUGAGCGGCUCUACCUGGUUUUAAUGUUGGAAUCCCUGCACGCCCCAACAUGCGUCGCCGAUCUGUAAACGCCUCUACCUAGAUUGGUUGGGUGGUGACCAAACAGUGAGGUGGUGGAAAGCAUCGUAACCUCUAUGUCAGGCUACUAUGGCUUGGCAGGGUACCUCCUCGUCCACUACCUCGGCUUCCCACAGCAUGAUCACAAUGUUUUGGCUGCAACCGUGGCGGUGGUUGCUGCCUCUUUCUGUUCUGAUCAUGGUCAAACCUCAUACAAAACCAAGGCAGAAAGCGUCCCAACAAAGUGUUUCGAAAUGGCAAGAUCUGGAUAGGCGAUCUCUGGUUUCUGUGUGAUUUAGCCUGUACAACACAGAGUAGUCUGCUGAGAACAAGCACCUUCUUAAAAGCACAUGUCUUUGAUGACAGCAACUUCUCCGCGAGUGAUUUAGUUUUCUCAACACACGAAGGGUAUUUAAUAUUACGAGGGGUAGCAUCAGUACGCCUUCCUGUAUCAUCAAUAUCAGUGAGGAUAUAUUUGCAGGUCAUGUUCAAACUUUGUGCAAAACCAAGGCAGAAAGCGUCCCAACAUAGUGUGGCAAUAUGGCAGGAUUGGGAGAGGUGAUUCCUCGUUUCUGUGCGAUUUAGUUUGCUCAACACACAGAGCAGUCUGCUGGGAACAAGCGUCUUCUUAAAAGCACAUGUGUCUGCUGACACCAACUUCCCCAUCUGUGAGCAGAGGUCGCGUCCCUGAGAAGGAUUUGGUCACCGAGGGAACUUGACACGUUCAAGGGCCACCUGGAGAUGGUCGUCAAGCUGAAGUGGCUCUCGUCGGCACUGACUUGGUGUUUGUUGUCGUGGUCUCCGGCGGCGGUUGUUGGGUGGCUGCCAUGGCGAGCAAUGCAUGCACGGUCGAAGGCUCAGCUUAGCGGCCGUUCUGUAUGACCGUGGCUAUAGUCGAUUUGGUUAUUCGAUUGGAGGUGACUCCUGGAGGGAGGUUAGUUAUUGAGAUUGAUAAUCCAAAAGUGGCAAGAGGGCAGGAGAGGAAGAGAUGGCCUAGAUUUGGAGGCACUAGAUAAAUGGAUGGACGAGUUAUUUGUUGGCUGCGGAAUUAGUGUUGGAGGCUGAUGCCCUUUUUUAUUUGUGUAUGUUUUCUCGAGCUAGCUCAAAUAGCGACACUCGAGAUUGAUAUGCUAGAUAGAAUCUACUUUCUUGUCCUGGUGGCUGUUUGAGCUAGUUAUGUACGUAUAUCUGGUGUACGAAGAAUGCAUGUUGUGAAUGAAGAAAAAUGGAAUAAAAUUCACUUCUUUGGUCGAUUCA
This is a long non-coding RNA of Triticum dicoccoides, 3614 nucleotides long. RefSeq lists it as uncharacterized. The record is from RefSeq and is a predicted model, not a curated record. NCBI's taxonomy places the organism in Eukaryota, Viridiplantae, Streptophyta, Magnoliopsida, Poales, Poaceae. The transcript is spliced from 14 exons.